This 440-nucleotide ribosomal RNA is filed under the name uncultured bacterium. RNAcentral describes it as "partial 16S ribosomal RNA". It matches the Rfam family "Bacterial small subunit ribosomal RNA", at positions 338 to 795 of the family's 1533-position model. The record is from RNAcentral.
CCUACGGGUGGCAGCAGUGGGGAAUAUUGCACAAUGGGGGAAACCCUGAUGCAGCGACGCCGCGUGAGUGAAGAAGUAUUUCGGUAUGUAAAGCUCUAUCAGCAGGGAAGAAAAUGACGGUACCUGACUAAGAAGCCCCGGCUAACUACGUGCCAGCAGCCGCGGUAAUACGUAGGGGGCAAGCGUUAUCCGGAUUUACUGGGUGUAAAGGGAGCGUAGACGGCCAGACAAGUCAGAAGUGAAAGCCCAGGGCUCAACCCUGGGACUGCUUUUGGAACUGCAUGGCUGGAGUACAGGAGGGGCAGGCGGAAUUCCUAGUGUAGCGGUGAAAGGCGUAGAUAUUAGGAGGAACACCGGUGGCGAAGGCGGCCUGCUGGACUGUGACUGACGUUGAGGCCCGAAGGCGUGGGGAGCAAACAGGAUUAGAUACCCCGGUAGUC